GCUAGUGGGAGGAGAGAGCGCGGGGUGGGGUGGCAGGAGGAGGCUGCAGAGAAGGGGGGCUGUAUAAAAAGCUGAGAAGCGUGAGGCCAACGAAGUGCGGGAAAGGCUUGGGGAGGGUUACUCAGGGCAGAAAAAUCCCUUAGUUUGUCCAGAGCUGUAUUCUAGGUUCAGGAAAGGGAGGGAGAAAAUGGGGGUUCCGUCUUUGAACUGGGUCAGAAGUACAAAGAGUUCAAAAAUUGUCUUCCUGCCAGAGAAAGAGAAGCAUUUCGUUCUUUCGAGAAAGAAUGGAAGUGAAGGAGCAUGGGAUAAUAGUGAUGUAGUUUAUUAUAAAUGAUUAUCUCAGCUUCAAAGAAAUCAUUAAUCAGUUCCUGAGUGGGGAAUCUGGUGGAGCAGAAAAGAAAAGGUGGUUUAAUUCUGAAUCAGGGAAAUUGAUUUGACAGCUUGGUUCAUCUGGGACCCCGGUUUUCAGGGAGGCUGAAAAUAUAUCAAGGAACUAGUAUAAAAGGAAGCAAGCAACAUGACAUCAUUCUUAAAAGACUAAAGGUGAAGAAUCUUCUACUGUCAACAUAUUUAUUGAGGGACCUCCUCUUUCCAGUUACAUCUACUCAUCCUAUCUAGCAGAUCCAGCAGGAGAGGCAUGUUACAUGUCCUAUCUAUUAAGAAAUGUAAUCUCACAAGAUCUAGGAAGAGAGAGUUUUUUUGUCAUGAUGUUUGCCCUCAUUCCCACAGAACCUAGACUGAAACCUACCCUUCUGAUGGGGCCUGAAGACUUGGAUGUGCCAUCGUGCCUCGAGGUCUGACAGUAAUAGUGAACCUUUGGCAAUGAUUAUAUUAAAUGGAUGUACGGUUUAUAUUCACCAACUGAAUAUGCUUCAUGUUUUACUAUCUAAGCUGCUGCACCCUUCCACUUACCACAGUGUGAAGAGCUCAUAGAUUCUCCAAAAUAUUGUGAAUCUGUGCAGCCAUUCAGCCAAGGAGAAUUGUGUAUCCUUUGACCCACUAAAUCCACGCAUAAUUUACAACUUAGAUGAAACACUUUUUUCACUAUUAGUCCUCAAACUACAUCCAUGCAUUUAGUGAUCUUUCAAAGUUAUGAUAUUACUGAAUGAAUGGUAGUUACAAUAAGCCCUUGAAAUUCUGGCCAUUGCAACAUCUUGGUAAUGUGAUCCAAAUUUAGAUGCUUGUAAGAACCCAUAUCUAUGACCAGUUACAGCAUCACAUGAGCACAACUGGGACUGCUGAAACUGCUUUACUAAGCAGCAUAGUUAUGUGUCUUGCAUGACCACUUCACUUGAUGAAAAUCCUGAUCCCAAUUAGAAUCAUAAUCCAAGGACUUCCUAUACUUUCAAGAUACUAUCUAGAACAAGCAUACUAUUUCUAACACCUCAUAUCCUGGGACAAUAAGCAAACAUAGUUCAUACCAAACCAAACUAUGUUUUUAAAAAUACUGCACAGAUAUUCCCAGAUGGAUACUGCACUGUUAGAUUUCUACAUUGAAAGCUAUCGCUAAUAAGACCAAGCCACAAUUAUGUAUUCUCCUGAUACAAUAAUAUUAAUAGAGCAGAAUGCCAUUUAAGAUUCCAAGAACAACAGCUGACAAUGGAGGGCAGUUGUCAUGAUUACAGUUGAUUAUGUUAAGGAAGCUGAGAAUUAACUCUCCAACCAACCACUAUAUACAAACAAGAACCACCAUCUCACUCUGGCAAUAAUUGGUUGGCAACUGCUGGAGAUGGAAUGUUGGGCUAAGGAGAUGAUAUUCGCUGCCAAUUAUGCAGUUUAGUUCCUGUCCUGUUCCUGUUUAGGAAUAAUAAAGAUUUCCCAUAGCCUGGUUGAUUGUGAGGAUGGACAAUAACAAUUGGCAAGUACAUUGAACCUUGACAAAUAUACAGUGAUUUUUUUAAAAAAAGUAUUAAAUUACAGGAAAUAAAUACUUUAUUAUUUAAUACCUAAAAACAAUAAGAAAAUG
Long non-coding RNA from Thamnophis elegans (Western terrestrial garter snake), 1966 nucleotides. RefSeq lists it as uncharacterized. The transcript has 2 exons. The record is from RefSeq and is a predicted model, not a curated record. NCBI's taxonomy places the organism in Eukaryota, Metazoa, Chordata, Lepidosauria, Squamata, Natricidae.